Molecule: ribosomal RNA, 512 nt
Filed under: uncultured Acidobacteriota bacterium
Lineage: Bacteria; Pseudomonadati; Acidobacteriota
Description: bacterial SSU rRNA
Rfam family: Bacterial small subunit ribosomal RNA
Source: RNAcentral
AGAGUUUGAUCAUGGCUCAGAACGAACGCUGGCGGCGUGCUUAACACAUGCAAGUCGAGUGCGCGCCUGUAGCAAUACAGGUGGCGCACGGCGCACGGGUGCGUAACACGUGGGUAAUCUGCCCUCUGAUGGGGAAUAACUCGCCGAAAGGCGAGCUAAUUCCGCAUAACAUUCCGAGAACUUCGGUUUUUGGACUCAAAGGCGUAAGUCGUCGGAGGAGGAGCCCGCGCACGAUUAGCUAGUUGGUGAGGUAAUGGCUCACCAAGGCUAUGAUCGUUAGCUGGUCUGAGAGGAUGGCCAGCCACACUGGAACUGAGACACGGUCCAGACUCCUACGGGAGGCAGCAGUGGGGAAUCUUGCACAAUGGGCGAAAGCCUGAUGCAGCGACGCCGCGUGGGGGAUGAAGCUUCUCGGAGUGUAAACCCCUUUCGACCCGGACGAAUACCUCGCAAGAGGGGUGACGGUACGGGUAUAAGAAGCCCCGGCUAACUACGUGCCAGCAGCCGCGGUA